This 407-nucleotide ribosomal RNA is filed under the name uncultured bacterium. Its description in RNAcentral is "bacterial SSU rRNA". It matches the Rfam family "Bacterial small subunit ribosomal RNA", at positions 1 to 413 of the family's 1533-position model. The record is from RNAcentral.
CCCUUAGAGUUUGAUCCGGCUCAGAUUGAACGCUGGCGGCAGGCCUAACACAUGCAAGUCGAGCGGAUGAAGGGAGCUUGCUCCUGGAUUCAGCGGCGGACGGGUGAGUAAUGCCUAGGAAUCUGCCUGGUAGUGGGGGAUAACGUUCCGAAAGGAACGCUAAUACCGCAUACGUCCUACGGGAGAAAGCAGGGGACCUUCGGGCCUUGCGCUAUCAGAUGAGCCUAGGUCGGAUUAGCUAGUUGGUGAGGUAAUGGCUCACCAAGGCGACGAUCCGUAACUGGUCUGAGAGGAUGAUCAGUCACACUGGAACUGUGACACGGUCCAGACUCCUACGGGAGGCAGCGGUGGGGAAUAUUGGACAAUGGGCGAAAGCCUGAUCCAGCCAUGCCGCGUGUGUGAAGAAG